AUAACCGGCGAACGGGUGCGUAACACGUGAACAACCUGCCCUCGUGUGGGGGAUAGCCAUGCUAACGCGUGGGUAAUACCGCAUACGGUCCUUUGGGGGAGGUCCCUGGGGGAAGAAAGCUCCGGCGCACGGGGAGGGGUUCGCGGCCUAUCAGCUAGUUGGGGGGGUAAUGGCCCACCAAGGCGACGACGGGUAGCUGGUCUGAGAGGAUGGCCAGCCACAUUGGGACUGAGAGACGGCCCAG
Molecule: ribosomal RNA, 244 nt
Filed under: uncultured bacterium
Lineage: Bacteria
Description: partial 16S ribosomal RNA
Rfam family: Bacterial small subunit ribosomal RNA
Source: RNAcentral